AAAACUGCUGCCGCGGAACUGCAACUUAGAUACUUUUGUGAGAUAAGCAGCUUCGCAAUGUGCUGUCCGGAGGUUUUGGUGCUUUUCAUAGCGCUGUGCAUCUUUAUUUUGCCGGGAGUAUUUGAUUGAAAACUGUGUACAUUUCUAUGGCAAAAUGGUCCCUCACUCACUAUCCAACCCAGUGAACAGAGCUCACCACGGUGUUUUUCUGGCCAUUGCUCUGCUGUUCAUAGUCAUUGCACUGUGAGCAGGAUGGUCUUACCUUCAAAACAGAAGCAAUCUUCAAGCCCAUCCAUUGAGGUGAUGUACAGAAUGGAGUCUAAAGAACUCCGGGAUCUGGACUAUAAAGCACUUUUUGCUAUAUUAAUUUUGGUGCAAUUAUAUGUUUAUGCUGCUAUGCAAACCGUUCUCACUUACAUUGUGACGGUGGCGAACGACUCUGUACAUUUCAAUGAAUCAGUUUAACUAAUUAUUGUAUGACUUGCUCAUUUGUCACCACCUCAUGCCGUAAAUAUUCAAUUUCCAGAAAUGGUCACUGCACAGAUCUGUGAGUGAAAUAAUAAUGUACGAUGAAUCAAAAUCCCCACCACAAUUUGGAAAGCUAUGAAGAUGAAGAAACGGAGGGAUACAAAUAGUGAAACAUUCCAGUGCUGUUGGACUUUAUCAGCACUCUUGAAACUUCACUUGUCCAAUCAGAUUCGAAGAACUAACUGUUGAGUAAAUUGUAUAUAAACAGUAUUUUUGUGUUUUGUAUGGAUACAAAACUGUAUUGAUAGAUGUUGAAGUUCUGUGACACUGUCUUAAACUACAGAUAAAUAGCAUUAUACAAGCAAAUAGUAAAAAAAAAGAAAAAGCAUAUAAGAACUGAAUGAAAUAAUAUAUUACCAAGUUGCAGGGAAGAUUAAUCUAGGAAAUGCAAAAUUUUUGUCAUGCAAGUAUAUUCAGGAAAUGCCCCAGUUAUUGAGGAGCACAUGAGGAAAGUGUCAUUCAAAAAAUAAACUAUUUUUUUAUUUCAAAUGAAAUUUUCUACGUGGCAGGUGAAAUGUUUUAGGACUAAGUACAAUUCCCCAGGUCUAAAAAUAAAUAUCAUACAUGCUGGACAAUGGCCAAUGUAUAUAUCCAUGAAUUAUUAAAUUCACAAUUAAGCUAACAAAUAUGUCUAAUGAGAUUCAUCCAAAUGCAGGAUAUACAUUUAUUUAUUUUUUUGUAAUAAAUGUUUUUGGAAAUUUUAAACAUUAAAGUAUUCAGAAAAUUAAAACUAUAUCUUGAAGAAAA
This is a long non-coding RNA of Myxocyprinus asiaticus (Chinese sucker), 1275 nucleotides long. RefSeq lists it as uncharacterized. Lineage: Eukaryota; Metazoa; Chordata; Actinopteri; Cypriniformes; Catostomidae. The record is from RefSeq and is a predicted model, not a curated record. The transcript has 4 exons.